CGCCGCCAUCUUCAGUCGGUAAUGGUGGCGUGAGGCAGCUUAAAGGCUCUUGCUGGCUUUGCUGCAAAUUCUGGUUUAUUUAUCUUCCGGGCCAGGGCCACAGACACAUGUAGUCCCACAUGGAGGAAUCCUGUUGUGGAGGACCAUAAAGAAAAGACUGCUGUCCAAACUCCAGUGCCCUGUAUCCCGAGGUGGCAUGGGUCAGGCCCAGUGGUGAUUUUAGCAUGUAAAUAUUGUUGGGGCAAACAAAACAAAAAAUUUGGGUUGUAUGCCAGCAAAGACACAACACUAAACAAUACAUUAAUUGCACUAUAACGGUGACAAACGGUGCCCACAAACUGUUAGGGCCUACAUAAAGCUGUCCCAACAGCAGUCCAACAUCUUACCACUGCUACAUCUGGCUAUCAGCGGAGCCUUGUCUGGCAGCAAAACAGUUCAUUCAGCCUCAUUUACUGCCUUUAAAAAAGACACGGCUGAUAUGGCUGACUUGUUUAAACAAAUGUGGUUUCUACUGACAAUUGAGAUGUACAAACUAUGGCAUAAGUGACAACAAGCGGGUCAUUUUGAUUCAGACAUUAAUGAGCGAGCUAGGACGGACUUCAAUAUAACUAUUUGUUCAGCACUUUUGAAAUGUACAGCGACAGAAUUCAGAACAUGGGCCGUUCUUAAAGUGUUCUCCCUCUACACCAAGUCAGAACCGCAGGAUAAUUAAAGGGGGCAUAUAAGCAGACAAUGAAAGCUCUUACAAUAUUCGAUGAUCACAUUUCUCAAAAACAGGUUAUAGGCUACAUGUGCAUCACCAAGUCAGAACAGUAGGUGAAAUUAAGAGGUGAAAAUAGACAAUUAUUAGGGUGAGGCACAUGGGCUACUAACAUCUUACUACACAACAUACAAUUAGUAUUACUUUCUUAGCUACAGAACACAUAUCUCCUUGGCAUAUUACAUAAUUUAUGCGGCAGCAGACAAUACAUUUUUGGACUCACCUUGUUGUGCUGUGCUCACUUGAACAGGAAGGUGGUGCAGCAGUCCUUUGUGGGCAAAUUUUGUCAAACUUUUAUUACUAUCUGGAUUUAUGGUGCUUUCAAGACAACUGGGAACCCCCCCCCCCCCCAAAAAAAGGUUGAAUCACAACCAACUUGUUGUGUAAUAUUUAUGUCCAAUCGCCGAUGAGCACCGAUACGUUUUAUCUAUAAUUUUUCUUCAUUAUUUAUCUUCAUAUGGCAAGGAUUAAAAAGGAUAUGCCAACAGAUUGUCGACUUGAUUCAUGAUGAUGACUGCCGGCUAAGGGAGUACUCCAAGGCUCGAUGCUAGGCUCCACGCUCUUCUCAAUUUACAACAACAUAGCUCAGGCAAUAGGAAGCUCUCUCAUCCAUUUAUAUGCAUAUGAUACAGUCUUAUACUCAGAUGGCCCCUCCCCUGAUGGCCCCUCCCUGAUUCCCCAAGCUUUCUCUACCCUUAACCUUGUUCUGAACACCUCCAAAAUAAAGGUUAUGUGGUUUGGUAAGAAGAAUGCCCCUCUCCCCACAGGUGUGAUUACUACCGCUGAGGGUUUAGAGCUUGAGGUAGUCACUUAUCGUAAGAGUAGGGGUGUUAACCCCGGUGUCCUGGCUAAAUUCCCAAUCUGGCCCUCAAACCAUCAUGGUCACCUAAUAAUCCCCAGUUUACAAUUGGCUCAUUCAUCCCCCUCCUCUCCCCUGUAACUAUUCCCCAGGUCGUUGCUGCAAAUGAGAACGUGUUCUCAGUCAACUUACCUGGUAAAAUAACGGUAAAAUAAAAAAAAUAUUUAAAAAAAUUGUCUGCCGGCUUGCCCCACCACCACAGAAAGCACUGAGCUAUGCUGAAGCAACUGCAUUUUGGAGCUGCCUUAGUCAAGAAAAUAAAAAAGAGACCAUGUUUGUAUGCAGCUUUAUUAACUCUUUGAUUGAUUGAUAUAUAUAUAUAUAUAUAUCAAUCAAUCUCAGCAAAAAAAAAAUGUCCUCUCACUGUCAACUGUGUUUGUUUCAGCAAACAAAUAUUUGUAUGAACAUAACAAGAUUCAACAACUGAGACAUAAACUGAACAAGUUUCACAGACAUGUGACUAACAGAAAUGUAAUAAUGUAUCCCUGAACAAAGGGGUGGUCAAAAUCAAGAGUAACAGUCAGUAUCUGGUGUGGCCACCAGCUGCAUUAAGUACUGCAGUGCAUCUCCUCAUGGAAUGCACCAGAUUUGCCAGUUCUUGCUGUGAGAUGUUACCCCACUCUUCCACCAAGGAAGAUGUUACCCCACUCUUCCACCGGACAUUUCUGGGGGGAAUGGCCUUAGGCCUCACCCUCCGAUCCAACAGGUCCCAGACGUGCUCAAUGGGAUUGAGAUCCGGGCUCUUCGCUGGCCAUGGCAGAACACUGACAUUCCUGUCUUGCAGGAAACCACACACAGAACGAGCAGUAUGGCUGGUGGCAUUGUCAUGCUGGAGGGUCAUGUCAGGAUGAGCCUGCAGGAAGGGUACCACAUGAGGGAGGAGGAUGUCUUCCCUGUAACGCACAGCUUUGAGAUUUCCUGCAAUGACAACAAACUCAGUCCGAUGAUGCUGUGACACACUGCUGCAGACCAAGACGGACCCUCCACCUCCAAAUCGAUCCCGCUCCAGAGUACAGGCCUCGGUGUAACGUUCAUUCCUUCGAUGAUAAACGCGAAUCCAACCAUCACCCCUGGUGAGAUAAAACUGCCACUCGUCAGUGAUGAGCACUUUUUGCCAGUCCUGUCUGGUCCAGUGACGGUGGAUUUGUGCCCAUAGGCGACUUGUUGUCGGUGAUGUCUGGUGAGGACCUGCUUUACAACAGGCCUACAAGCCCUCAGUCCAGCCUCUCUCAGCCUAUUGCGGACAGUCUGAGCACUGAUGGUGGGAUUGUGCAUUCCUGGUGUAACUCGGGCAGUUGUUGUUGCCAUCUUGUACCUGUCCCGCAGGUGUGAUGUUCGGAUGUACCGAUCCUGUGCAUGUGUUGUUACACGUGGUCUGCCACUGAGAGGAUUAUCAGCUGUCCAUCCUGUCCCCCUGUAGCACUGUCUUAGGCGUCUCACAGUACAGACAUUGCAAUUUAUUGCCCUGGCCACAUCUGCAGUCCUCAUGCCUCCUUGCAGCAUGCCUAAGGCACGUUCACACAGAUGAGCAGGGACCCUGGACAUAUUUCCUUUGGUGUUUUCAGAGUCAGCAGAAAGGCCUCUUUAGUGUCCUAAGUUUUUUCAUAACUGUGACCUUAAUUGCCUACUGUCUGUAAGCUGUUAGUGUCUUAACGACCGUUCCACAGGUGCAUGUUCAUUAAUUGUUUAUGGUUCAUUGAACACGCAUGGGAAACAGUGUUUAAACCCUUUACAAUGAAGAUCUGUGAAGUUAUUUGGAUUUUGACUAAUUAUCUUUGAAAGACAGAGUCCUGAAAAGGGGACGUUUCUUUUUUUGCUGAGUUUCUUUUUUUAUACAUUGUUUGCAAACUGAUAUGUGACAUGUAUUAAUGCCAAAAUAAUAUGCAAAACAGGCAAUCCCCAAAAACAUGUGGCGUUCAAAACAGGUGGGGCUCUGAAUAAUGGGUCGCCACUGGUCAGGCCACAUGUAAGACCAGGGUGCUUGUUACAGUGAGAUACUGUUCUAUUACUGGUACUGCAGCUACAUUUUAUUACUGUUUUACACUCUGUCCAGUAUUAUCCAUUAGAAGGCAAUGCAGUGUGUUUAUAUGAGACACACAUUGCUCCAUCAAGCAAGGUUUCACUUAAUGUCUAUUACUACAUGAACACACAUCAAUCUCAUAGAUUCUCUGCAACCGCAUCUAUCGUGUCUUUCAACUUCUGUAAUCUACAUAAUCACUUGGCAUCAUGAUUCACUUCAAAUGAAUAAAUUGUCAAAAUAAAAA
Molecule: long non-coding RNA, 3883 nt
Organism: Salvelinus fontinalis (brook trout)
Lineage: Eukaryota; Metazoa; Chordata; Actinopteri; Salmoniformes; Salmonidae
Exons: 2
Source: RefSeq, a predicted model, not a curated record